UCCGGUGGUUAUACCGGAGGGGUCACACCCGUUCCCAUUCCGAACACGGAAGUUAAGCCCUCCCUGGCUGAUGAUACUUGGGCUGCGAGGCCCUGGGAAAGUAAGUAGCUGCCGGAC
Molecule: ribosomal RNA, 117 nt
Filed under: Nitrospirota bacterium
Lineage: Bacteria; Pseudomonadati; Nitrospirota
Source: RNAcentral